Molecule: long non-coding RNA, 1465 nt
Organism: Venturia canescens
Lineage: Eukaryota; Metazoa; Arthropoda; Insecta; Hymenoptera; Ichneumonidae
Exons: 2
Source: RefSeq, a predicted model, not a curated record
GGUAUUCCUCCGGAGCUGGAAUAUUCCUACGGCAUUGGGCGGCGGCCGCGCGAAUGCAUCGCGGAAAAUAAGCAGCAGCAGCAACCUCGAGAGAUAUAGGCGGCAGAGAAAUAAGCGAGAAAGAUCGUACCCGCAGCUUCACCGGAGGCUUUUCAACCGACCAGAAGUCCAACGGAGUUCGCGGCUGUGUGGAUAUCACGGGGAAGAAACCAGGCAUGAGCGCUACGUGUAUAAACAUCUAGAUAUAGAUAUAGCCCAUCGAGAUGAGGGCUUAGAUUGGCUUGCGUAUAGGAUACGAGAGAAGGGACCAUGAACCCCGACGUGUAGUGCCGCCGGGUCAUUCCCGGCCACUAUGCACAUCUUCGGCAUAUAUAUAAAUAUACAGGCUGCGCCAAAAGUCUUUUCUCCGAUUAUUAACUCGACGCAAUGGAGUUUUUCGCCAUCUGAAUGGAAACUCCAAUCGUUUUUUCUUCGAACCUCUCGUGCGUGUAUGGAGUGCUGAAACUACACUGGGAAAAAAAGUCAUUGCGGAGGAACGAAAUGUGGCAUUGAGGGGUGCCAAUGAAAUAUGUGAUCAUCACAGGGUUAAACACGAUUAAACGAAUAAAAUUGUUUCAGAUCAAACUGCAGAUUCAUUGUCUCCGAAAGCAUUGCAGUUUAAUGAAGAAAACUCUUCCAAUAACAUCAAUUUCUCUUGAAUCAACAAUCUUUUUUUCUCAGUGUAGUUUCCAGUAAUCAACGGUCUCCUUGUACAAGCUUUUUGGACGCCUCCGCAGCACCGGUCUGGAUCCUUGAUUUCUGCCGCGAUUCUUCAAUUGCUACCUGGGCGAAGAUGCUGCAGAAAUUCUUGUGCCUCCGCACGCCCAAGCUGCUAUCGAUUCUGAUCACUGGAUCGUAAUGGAGUUGAACAAUCGCCAGAUUCAUUGAAAACUGAGUCGAACUAUGUGGACUUUUAAAGCAUCGGACAAAUGUCAUAAUCCUCUUACGAGUUCAUCCGUGGUGAAUGAAAAUGUUAAUCCCUUUGGGCCAGCGGCCAAGAAAAUGUUUCGAGUCCCUUGGAAAUGAAGCGGUUGGAAUGAAGCUCCGAAUGGCUUCGAUCCGAAAAUCGUCUAGUUUAUUCCUGGAAAUUUUCGUACGAAAUAAGACGUUUCAAAUGGGAGGAUAUCGUGCAAGUCGAGAUGCAUGGGAGCUGUCGUCCCCCUCCGCGAUUGCAGGUGCUUCAUUCCAGUAAGAUGUAUAACUCGUAGGAGGCGAGUGAGUAAUGAGGGAAGAAAAAAGGAAGGGAUCGCGGAGAGAAGCCAAUGAAGAAGGUACGUGUCAACCUGUCUAUCUCGGGUUUCUCACAAGGGCCUUCCGACGUUCGUCACUUCCAGUAAACAUCUCAAGUUCAAAAUGCAUUUUUGUAAUCCCCUUGAUCCGAUCAAUGUCACGCUGAAAUAAAAAGAAAGUAAUCCACUUGACGAUA